Cyprinus carpio carpio is the source of this 775-nucleotide long non-coding RNA. NCBI's taxonomy places the organism in Eukaryota, Metazoa, Chordata, Actinopteri, Cypriniformes, Cyprinidae. The record is from Ensembl.
GUCAGAACUUAUUUGGAACAUUGCAUCACUUGCUCACCAAUGGAUCCUCUGCAGUGAAUGGGUGCCGUCAGAAUGAGAGUUCAAACAGCUGAGACCAAACGUCUUGCUAAAUUUCUCUAAAUCUGUUCCGGUGAAGAAACAAACUCAUCUACAUAUUGGAUGGCCUGAUGUUUGACUUGGACAUUCUGCCCGACACCUCAUUAUGUGUUUCAAGACAGGGGAAAGUCGAACGAGAUUUGAAACAAUAUGAAGGUGUGCUGAAAGGGGGCCUGUAAGGACAAGAGCUGUGGAGGUCAAAACGGACAGGAAGCGGCUGUUUGUUUGUCUGGACACUUGUUUGUGAGUCUGGCCAUUAUCCUCCUCAUUAAUUCUGAUGGUAAAUAGCCUGCCUCAAGAUUGGGAAGGUUAUACUGACCUCACACCUCUCCAUAACAGUAUGUUUGAAUUAUUUUAGCCCUCACAGUGGCCGGGUCCGUCGCUUUGUCAGGGCAGCAAUCGUGUUUACGGCCUAUACAAGAAGAGAUUUGCCACACUAGUGGCUUUUACCCACCAUGAUGUCAGCUUAUUUUAAUAGAUUUGUUUACCCAAGGCUGAACUUUUGGUGGUUAAAAUUUAAAUUCUCUCAUCAUUUAAUGUUGUAUGAAAGCUGCAUGAUUUUCUGUCAUUUGUUGAACACAAUGCAGUUUGUUUAAGGCUCUAGUAUGUCUUUGUGGGAUGUGUUCCAACUCUCAACUGUUACAUUAUGAAAGAUAAAGUCAUAUUAUUUGUUGUCCCC